Long non-coding RNA from Gasterosteus aculeatus aculeatus (three-spined stickleback), 838 nucleotides. NCBI's taxonomy places the organism in Eukaryota, Metazoa, Chordata, Actinopteri, Perciformes, Gasterosteidae. The record is from Ensembl.
CCUCAUACAAUGCUACACACUGUACUACACACUAUACUACUGACUGCACUACACAUCAUACUAGUCACUGUACUACACAGCAUACUAGUCACUGUACUACACACUGUACUCCACACUGUACUACACACCAUACUAGUCACUAUACGACACACUAUACUACUCACUGUACUACACACUAUACUACACACUCUACUACUCACUAUACUACUUACUGUACUACACACUACUACACACUAUAUUACUCACUGUACUACACACUAUACUACUCACUGUACUACACACUAUACUACUCACUCUACACACUAUACUACUCACUGUACUACACACUAUACUACACACUCUACUACUCACUAUACUACUUACUGUACUACACACUACUACACACUAUAUUACUCACUGUACUACACACUAUACUACUCACUGUAUUACACACUAUACUACUCACUGUACUACACAAAGAAGAAGGAUUAAAUGAUGAAUAAAUGCAUAAUUCAUCCUCUAUAAACUAGUCUAUAGUUCUUAAACUUUAGUUCUAAUCCGUGAGACCUGAGACGGACUCUGUCUCUCUCUCCCCAUGUCCGCCCCAUAUCCUUUGUCCGUCCCCGUUUUUGUGUCCAGCCUAUAAGAGUGAGAUCAUGAAGAUCGGUCUCCUGAGGUGUCGAGAAGAACCUCCAAAGCUCCUUCAGGGCAACAAGUUCCAGGAAAGGACGUUCCAGAUCAUAAACCACAAGCUGCUGCUGCUCAAGGACAAGAAGAGCAUCAAGCCAGAGAAGGAGUGGUCUCUGAAGUCCAUGAAGAUCUACAUCGGCAUCCGCAGGAAACUCAAGGCUCCGACCAG